Molecule: unclassified non-coding RNA, 212 nt
Filed under: Hevea brasiliensis (rubber tree)
Lineage: Eukaryota; Viridiplantae; Streptophyta; Magnoliopsida; Malpighiales; Euphorbiaceae
Source: RNAcentral
GCUAACGAAGCAAGGAAGACAGAGGAGUGGUUGGGUGUACCCUCUAGAAGCUGAUAUUGUCUGUGUUCUCUGCCGCAUAGAAUGCUUUUGCUUUCAUUUGCUGUCCAUCCAUAAGGCCUCAAAUAUUUAAAUAUUAGCUCUCCUGUCUCCUAUAUUCUAUUUAGGCUAAAAACUUACCAAGUUCUACAUACAUAAGCCUAGUGGUUGGGAAU